GACGAACGCUGGUGGCGUGCUUAACGCAUGCAAGUCGAACGGGAUUUAGUAAACAGAAGCCUCGGUGGAAGAUUACUAAUGAGAGUGGCGAACGGGUGAGUAACGCGUGAGCAACCUGCCUAUGACAGUGGGAUAGCCUCGGGAAACCGGGAUUAAUACCGCAUAAAAUCGUAGAAACACAUGUUUUAACGGUCAAAGAUUUAUCGGUCAUAGAUGGGCUCGCGUCUGAUUAGCUAGUUGGUGAGAUAACAGCCCACCAAGGCGACGAUCAGUAGCCGGUCUGAGAGGAUGAACGGCCACAUUGGAACUGAGACACGGUCCAAACUCCUACGGGAGGCAGCAGUGGGGAAUAUUGCACAAUGGGGGAAACCCUGAUGCAGCGACGCCGCGUGAACGAAGAAGGUAUUCGUAUCGUAAAGUUCUGUCCUAUGGGAAGAUAAUGACAGUACCAUAGAAGAAAGCUCCGGCUAAAUACGUG
This 478-nucleotide ribosomal RNA is filed under the name uncultured bacterium. RNAcentral describes it as "partial 16S ribosomal RNA". It matches the Rfam family "Bacterial small subunit ribosomal RNA", at positions 28 to 507 of the family's 1533-position model. The record is from RNAcentral.